Non-coding RNA from Gossypium raimondii (Peruvian cotton), 122 nucleotides. Lineage: Eukaryota; Viridiplantae; Streptophyta; Magnoliopsida; Malvales; Malvaceae. The record is from Rfam.
AAUAGGAGAACGACAAAUCAGAUUUUUCCUCCUGAUUUUUAGCAUUUUUAGUUGGAUUUGAAUUUUGCAGGAGGAAAAAGCUAAAAAUCAAGAGAAAAAAUCUGAUUUGUCAUUCUUUUAUU